AGGGCAUACGGUGGAUGCCUAGGCGCCAAGAGCCGAAGAAGGACGCGGUAAGCUGCGAAAAGCCACGGGGAACUGCAAGCAAGUAUUGAUCCGUGGAUAUCCGAAUGGGGAAACCCGGCCAUCGUCAUGGAUGGUCACCCGCAAGGGAGGGAACCUGGGGAACUGAAACAUCUAAGUACCCGGAGGAAGAGAAAUCAAACGAGAUGCCCACAGUAGCGGCGAGCGAAGAGGGCAGAGCCCAAACCGAGAAGCUCCGGCUUUUCGGGGUUGAGGACCGGCAGAAUCGAAGUCAGGCCUAGUUGAAUUACCUGGAAAGGUAAGCGAGAGAGGGUAAAAGCCCCGUAGACGAAAGGCAGAGCAGAGAGGCCGAGAUCCAGAGUACCACGAAGCACGAGGAAUUUUGUGGGAAGCAGGGGGGACCACCCUCCAAGGCUAAAAACUACUUGGCGACCGAUAGCGCAUAGUACCGUGAGGGAAAGGUGAAAAGAACCCCGGGAGGGGAGUGAAAUAGUACCUGAAACCGUAUGUCUACAAGCAGUCGAAGCGAAAGCGACGGCGUGCCUAUUGAAGAAUGAACCAACGAGUUAUCUGCACUAGCGAGGUUAAGUGGAAGACACGGAGCCGCAGCGAAAGCGAGUCUUAAGAGGGCGCUAGUUAGUGUAGGUAGACCCGAAACCGCAGUGAUCUACCCAUGUCCAGGUUGAAGCGCAGGUAAAAUUGCGUGGAGGACCGAACCGGUGAGCGUUGAAAAGCUUUCGGAUGAGAUGUGGGUAGGGGUGAAAUUCCAAUCGAACGCGGAGAUAGCUGGUUCUCCCCGAAAUAGCUUUAGGGCUAGCCUGAGGUAGUAAGUAUAGGCGGUAGAGCACUGAUCGGGCUAGGGGCCGUAAAGGUUACCGAACCCUGUCAAACUCCGAAUGGAUAUACUGUAGAGCCUUGGAGUCAGACUACGAGUGAUAAGAUCCGUGGUCAAAAGGGAAACAGCCCAGACCACCAGCUAAGGUCCCCAAUGUCGUACUAAGUGGAAAAGGAUGUGGGGUUUCAUAAACAACCAGGAUGUUGGCUCAGAAGCAGCCACCAUUUAAAGAGUGCGUAAUAGCUCACUGGUCGAGAGACCCUGCGCCGAAGAUUCCCGGGGCUAAAGUACGAAACCGAAGCUGUGGCUGUAUACGUAAAGUAUACGGGGUAGGGGAGCGUUCCCAUAGGGUAGAAGUCGAACUGGAAGGUUCGGUGGACUUGUGGGAAGUGAGAAUGUUGGUAUGAGUAGCGAAAAGAAAGGUGAGAAUCCUUUCCACCGAAAGCAUAAGGAUUCCUGAGCAACGAUCGUCGUCUCAGGGUAAGUCGGGACCUAAUCCGAGGCAGAGAGCGUAGGAGAUGGACAACUGGUUGAUAUUCCAGUACCGGUAGUAAUUGUUUGAGCAAUGGAGUGACACAGAAGGGCAGGCAAGCAUGCGAAUGGAAGAGCAUGUGUAAGCGUGUAGGGUGGUGCAUAGGCAAAUCCGUGCACUGAAAGCCUGAGGCGUGAUGCGGAGUGAGCAGAGAUGCGAGCGAAGUUGUUGACCCCACACUGUCGAGAAAAGCUUCUAGUGAGAGAGCUACCGCCCGUACCGUAAACCGACACAGGUAUGCGGGGAGAGAAUCCUAAGGUGCGCGGGAGAACCCUCGUUAAGGAACUCGGCAAAAUGUACCCGUAACUUCGGGAUAAGGGUAGCCACUGUUGUGAAGUCCCAUGCGGAUGGAGCAUAGAGUGGUCGCAGAGAAGAGGCCCAAGCGACUGUUUACCAUAAACACAGGUGCCUGCUAAAGCGAAAGCUGACGUAUAGGUGCUGACACCUGCCCAGUGCCGGAAGGUUAAGGAAGGAUGUUCGGAUUAGUCCAAAGCAUUCGACUGAAGCCCCGGUGAACGGCGGCCGUAACUAUAACGGUCCUAAGGUAGCGAAAUUCCUUGUCGGGUAAGUUCCGACCCGCACGAAAGGUGUAACGAUUUGGGCACUGUCUCAACGAGGGACCCGGUGAAAUUGAAAUACCUGUGAAGAUGCAGGUUACCCGCGACUGGACAGAAAGACCCCAUGGAGCUUUACUGUAACCUGACAUUGGGUUUUGAUACAUUACGUACAGGAUAGGUGGGAGGCAUGGAAAGCUGGACGCUAGUCUGGCUGGAGCCGACGUUGGGAUACCACCCUUGAUGUAUUGAAAUUCUAACCGCGAGAGUAACGAAAUCCGGGACAGUGUCAGGCG
RNAcentral lists this ribosomal RNA (2235 nucleotides) under human gut metagenome. Its description in RNAcentral is "bacterial LSU rRNA". It matches the Rfam family "Bacterial large subunit ribosomal RNA", at positions 14 to 2263 of the family's 2925-position model. The record is from RNAcentral.